UUACCUACCUUGGUGUAACUUUGGAUUGUCGCCUUUGUUGGAAAGGACAAAUUGACCGCGUGUGUGGCUCAGCUAGAUCAAAACUGGACAGAAUGGACUGGCUUCUUCGACCAGGUAGCGGUCUUACCCUUCGGGCCAUUGUCCUCCCCACGUUAAAUAGGGGAAUAACUUGCUGAGGCACAGCCUGUGAUUAAUCUCUUAAAAGGGACACGGGAGUGCCGACGGUUGCGGUUUGUAGCUUUUCAAAUCGAUACAGAGAUCGCUUGCUGGAUCACACGAACCGUCUGGCUAGACGUCUUGCUACACCAUUGGGUCGACGACGUUUCCGCAGACGGCACCCAGCGGACCUGUGGAUUAUUGGCCGUGACAGACACGGGCGCCUCUUAUAACAACACAAGAACACUGACAUGCUCUUACCUGCCCUGCACUGAACACCCGAAUAUUUGGGAUCUUUGAACAUUCUAAGCAUGUGGCGUUAAAAUAAAAAAUUAUUUAAUUAUCAUAAGCGUUCAGCAAAAAAAAAACUUGCUGAAUACGCCCAAUAACACCAAAAAUCUACCAAAAACUUAUGA
Molecule: long non-coding RNA, 572 nt
Organism: Drosophila gunungcola (fruit fly)
Lineage: Eukaryota; Metazoa; Arthropoda; Insecta; Diptera; Drosophilidae
Exons: 2
Source: RefSeq, a predicted model, not a curated record